This 590-nucleotide ribosomal RNA is filed under the name uncultured bacterium. RNAcentral's name for it is "bacterial SSU rRNA". It matches the Rfam family "Bacterial small subunit ribosomal RNA", at positions 102 to 688 of the family's 1533-position model. The record is from RNAcentral.
ACGGGUGAGUAACACAUCGGAACGUGCCUAGUAGUGGGGGAUAACUACUCGAAAGAGUAGCUAAUACCGCAUGAGAUCUAAGGAUGAAAGCAGGGGACCUUCGGGCCUUGCGCUACUAGAGCGGCUGAUGGCAGAUUAGGUAGUUGGUGGGAUAAAAGCUUACCAAGCCGACGAUCUGUAGCUGGUCUGAGAGGACGACCAGCCACACUGGAACUGAGACACGGUCCAGACUCCUACGGGAGGCAGCAGUGGGGAAUUUUGGACAAUGGGCGAAAGCCUGAUCCAGCAAUGCCGCGUGUAGGAUGAAGGCCCUCGGGUUGUAAACUACUUUUGUACGGAACGAAAAGACUCUUUCUAAUAAAGAGGGUCCAUGACGGUACCGUAAGAAUAAGCACCGGCUAACUACGUGCCAGCAGCCGCGGUAAUACGUAGGGUGCGAGCGUUAAUCGGAAUUACUGGGCGUAAAGCGUGCGCAGGCGGUUAUGUAAGACAGAGGUGAAAUCCCCGGGCUCAACCUGGGAACGGCCUUUGUGACUGCAUAGCUAGAGUACGGUAGAGGGGGAUGGAAUUCCGCGUGUAGCAGUGAAAUG